RNAcentral lists this unclassified non-coding RNA (315 nucleotides) under plant metagenome. Its description in RNAcentral is "partial contains 5.8S ribosomal RNA, internal transcribed spacer 2, and large subunit ribosomal RNA". The stretch from base 1 to 105 matches the Rfam family "5.8S ribosomal RNA", at positions 50 to 154 of the family's 154-position model. The record is from RNAcentral.
GAACUGCGAUAAGUAAUGUGAAUUGCAGAAUUCAGUGGAUCAUCGAGUCUUUGAACGCACAUUGCGCCCCCUGGCAUUCCGGGGGGCAUGCCUGUCCGAGCGUCAUUGCUGCCCUCAAGCCCGGCUUGGGUGUUGGGUCGUCGUCCCCCCCGGGGGACGGGCCCGAAAGGCAGCGGCGGCACCGUGUCCGGUCCUCGAGCGUAUGGGGCUUUGUCACCCGCUCGAUUAGGGCCGGCCGGGCGCCAGCCGGCGUCUCCAACCUUAUUUUUCUCAGGUUGACCUCGGAUCAGGUAGGGAUACCCGCUGAACUUAAGC